Long non-coding RNA from Leptopilina boulardi, 2835 nucleotides. RefSeq lists it as uncharacterized. The record is from RefSeq and is a predicted model, not a curated record. The transcript has 3 exons. Lineage: Eukaryota; Metazoa; Arthropoda; Insecta; Hymenoptera; Figitidae.
UUAAGCGUUAUUUAUAUUAGUUAAAUAAGAAAUAAAAUCUUCCAAAUGAUAAACUGUAGGAGAAAUCAGGGUAGUUGUAAAAAUUAAAAUUGUGAUUUUGUAACAAAAUUUUUUAUCAUUUUAGUGAAGAAAGGUAUGCAAAGUAUUUUAAUAAAAUAUGUAUUAGACAAUUUGUAAUAUAACAAGUAAUAUAAAGAAUAACAACAAUUGAAUAAUGUAUUCAUGUAAAUUUAAAAAAAAAAUUUUAGUCGUAGCGCAAACGCUUGAAUUAUUUUAUUAUUUAAUUUAAUUUAAUUAUUUUUUUAAAAAAAUGCAAAUCAUUCUCAGAGUUAAUCAAAAUUUAAUCAUCGAAUCAUCCAUUGCAAUAAAAAUUAACAUUGUAAUAUAAUCUUGUCGACCGAGCUAUGUUAUUGUCACAUCAUUCAUUUUACAAUGACAAUCUAACAAAAAUUAAAAAUAUUCUAAAAAAUAACGAUUACCCACAUAAAUUUAUUAAAAAACAUACCAAAAUUCAGUUAAUUUAAUUCCGUAAAAAAAUAUGAAUAAUAAUAUUAUAAAUUCACGAACUCUUUUAAAUUAACAAAUUCCUAAAGUUUAGUUUACCGAUCGUUCAUUAGAAGCACGUAUUAGAAUUAAAUCAUGAGUUUAAUUGGGAUUAUAUUGUUAUAUUGGACCGAGAACCAAACUAUAAAAAACGUUGUUUUUCAGAAAUGUUACAUAUAAAAAUUAACGAUUUUACUAUUAACAAAAAAAAAGAUAUAAUGUAUUUUAAUAAAAUUUACUUCCCUUUAAUUUUUCAAAUUAGACUCAUGAUUUUAUUUUUCUAGAUAUAUUUCACUACCACGUGCUAACAACGAAGUUUAUUAACAAUUUAGUAACAUAAAUCUCUGUUAUUGUAUUCCUUACUUUACAAAUUUAAUUACGUGUGUCUUAUAAAUAAUUUUUUGCAACACCUUUACAGUUAAAUCAUUAAAAAAAAAUUGAAUUAGAAUUAUGUAUUUGAAUAUUUAAGUGAAUUUUACAGAAAGAAUGAAUAAUUUAAUAUCACUUUGCUUUCUUAUACGAGUGUGUAAAGUAAUUUACUUUACUAUUGUAAAUGAAGUAAAAUACAAUUGUAGAAGUUAAUGUUGCAAAAAAUUUUUUAUUAAUCUACGUAGGUAAUUUUGGAAGUCUCUGAUUCUUGGGGUAAUUAAAUAUAAUAGAAAUUAUUCUUAUAAUUAUUUUGUGUAAUUUACAAAUUGUCGACGUAAUAAAUAUUUGUAAUUCCGGAUUUCUUUUUCUAAACUAUCAAUAUAAUUAUUAUAUUUAUUAUAUAUAUUGUAAUCAUUAAAAUCGAACAAUUUUUUACUUACCUGCAUCUGUGUGAUCUGAAUUAACAUAAGUAAUUAGAUUUAAUUUCCGAAAACUAGAAAAGAGCGCUCUCAAAUUUGAAAUAAAUGUUACCAACUGGAUGAUACUUCAACAAAUAAUAAUUGUUAUUAUAAAUAAUUUAGAAAAAUUCACUUUUACUGUUGUGUGAAUCUUUGGAAUUUUCGACUGUUUCUUCAAUAUUUGUAAUUGAGAUUUUUUUUGUACAUCUAAUGUAUGAAAUUAUAAUGUUAUCUUUGUAUCGAAUGAUUGUAAUUUGGAAUAUUUUCACUUGACAAUCACUCCAGAUUAAAAUACUAACUGUAUUUUAUAAAUAUCAAAAUUAUAAAUACAAAUAGAAGUCCAUGGAUUACCAAGUAGUCAAAUAUGCCAAACAAUUUCUUCAAUUAAUUGUUAAUGGUCACUCAUUGAUUGCUUUUGGCUUCCUGUGCUGACAAUGGCUAUAAAAUUACUCCAAUCAUUAAUAACAACUGGCCAACUGCAGUGAAAAUCAAGCUCAUAAUUACUGGCAUUAAUCUGGAAUUAAGCUUGGAUUAUCAAGAAUUUCUGGGGUACAAAAAAAGUGAGUUCCUUGCCUAUUGGAAUUAUAAUAACCCCAAUUGGCAGACGUGGACAAACUAACUUUGGGAUCAAGUUUGGACUAUCGAGAAUUUCUGGAGUUUAAUUAAGAAAAUUCCUCACUUGGAAAAUGGAUAUUGAUGAAUUAAUGCUGUUUCUCUAUAUCAAAUAAAAUAUUUGGUUACUUCAAAUAGAUUGUACUCCUAGGAAUCUCAAUUACUCUCUAGUUAAAUAAUUGCUAUAAAGUGCUUCAGUUGAUUUAUUUUGUCAUAUCUAUCUUGUAAGAAAAUUAUAAAGAAUUUAGAAUAAGUUAGCGCUUUAUGCGAACGGACAGGAUUAAAUUAUUAUUUCUUUAUCAAUAGUUUAGCAUUAAAUAGAAUUAAUUUUAAUUUUAUUGAUAAUUUACUCUUUCUCUACAGAUUCAUUUUUUAAUUCAGUUUUAAAUAUGUCCAUCAUUAUUCGGAAUAUGUUUUUCAGUUUGUAAAACGUCUUCGAAAUCGAAAUUACACUUUUGUUUUAUAUAUUCCUCUUUGCUGAAAUAAUUACAGUUCAUAUUGAAUUAUUAUUAUCAAUAGAAUCUAUAGAGAGAGAGAAAGAUAUGAAUCCAUUUUAAUGACUGACUUUAUGAGACUUCCAAAAUAUUAUAAAACGUUUGCGUAGAAUUAUACUUAAGUAAGGUAAAGGACACUAUACUCGAUUAGUAGUUUUUAUAUUUUUUAUUUACGCAAAUCAAUUUGUACUGAUUUGUAUAAUGGAAUAUAAUUAAUUGUUUGAUUAAAUUUAUAUGCAGUUAAUAUAAUAUAAAUCAAAAUAUUUAUUUUUUAUUGUUAUUUUAUCAAAUCGACUAUUUAGUCCGUUAUCAUGGUUUUAAAUUAUAAUAUUAAAUAUAUUGUAAGGGUCCUAGAGCCU